UCCCUGCUUUCUGCCAUGCUUCCUGCUGUGUUGAUAAUGAUACUAUUUUAGUCAUGAUGUUUCUUCCCAGCAAUAAAACCCUAAGACAGUCUGCACGACAGCCCUGAGUUGAACUUCAUUCUUGGUCUACUGAUUGCUGGGGUCCAGCAGUCACUUCACAAACUGCAUGGACACAAUCUCAGUCUGACAGGGGUAGUUUAUUGGCCUCAGAACUGAUCAAUCUGGGCCAUGGUUCAGACUUAGGAGCUGAACCAUGAAAUUGAGUUAAGAUCCUACAGGGCUUUUAAGCCUAAAAUCCACAAAAAUCUGUGCCAAGUUAUUUCUCUAGUCAAGAUUUAGGGAUAGGGGACUUCCUUAGGAACAUGUCUUUGCUGUACACUUAUCCUGCUUCCAUUGGUUGGGGUAUUCUGCUGUGGCAGGGGACUUGCUUUGCUUAACAUUCAUGUCUUAACUUGCCAACCAGAAUGUCAGUUACCCAAGUACCUGUCUCUUUCUCCUAGGUAGGAUGUCAGUUCCCAGGGAGGUCUUGGGAGCUUAAACUUUAUUGAAUCCCAUACCCAAAAUGGAAGUCUUAUUAUUCCAAAUAGUUUCUCAUGUUGGUGCAGAUGUUUUUCUUAUAUUGGGGUCCAAGCUUAUUGUGGGUAACUAUACAAAAUAGUCCUACCGACUUCUACUAUGAUUGGUUUCCAAAGGGCAUAGAACAUAACAGAAUAUGUAAUCAACUUGGGCAUGAGAAAGUUUCCUAGUAACAGCAGAAGCAACACAGAGAGAUUUUCCUUACAAUAUUAGUAACAGCACAAAAUGGCAGGCUAGACAGGUAACAGUUACCUGGGCCUUACCAUUCCAUCUAGGCCUUCAUAUUUUACCUAGGCUUUAUCAUUGAUGAAACCGAGGCCUAGAGAGACUUAGCACCUUGCACAAGGCCAUCCUCACUUUGUUCUGUUAUGCAUUAUGCAGUCAGGACAGCGUCACAGGACUCAUCAUUAUGGGACCUAAGGUAAGUCUGGUCUUGGAAAAAGGUGCAGCUGUCAGUACUGCCAGUUAAUAACUUCGUAGCUCCAGGCACAUCUCUUAAUUAUCUGGGCAUGAAUUUCUGUAUCAGCAAAUUAAUGAUGUUGUGCCAGAGUCUCAUAUUCUAGGUUCUGCAUGAGGAAAUUAACAGUGCAGAACUGAAUGACUUCAAGUACUCUCCCUAAUCCAGAGGGUCUGUAGCUUCAGUCACCAAAGCAGCUUCUUUGGAGCCCCUUCCUACCCAACCCUCCACCAUCAGAGUGCUCUGAGAGAGCAUAUCUAAAAAGCAGAUUCCUAGCAUCACUCAUGAUUGAACAUAUCUUCACCCAAAUGUCUGCAAUAGGAUCCAACAGUCUACUGUGUUUAUUAAACCACAGUUUAGGUGACCGAGAUUGUAUCUUAUGUUACCAAGGGAUAUGAGGGAAGGUAAGAGUUUAAUAAUGGGAGAGAAGCAGCUAAUGCAUGCUCUGAAAGUGUGGUGGUUUGAAUGAAAAUGGCCCCCAUAGGCUCAUAUGUUUGAAUGCUCGAUCCCCAGUUGAUGAAUUACUUGGGAAGAAUUAGCAUGUGCAGCCUUUGAGGAAGUGUGCCAUUGGAGGUAGGCUUUGAGGUUUCAGAGGUCCACACCAUUUCAGGUUAGUUCUCUCUCUCUCUCUCUCUCUCUCUCUCUCUCUCUCUCUCUCCUUCUUUCCCUCCCUCCCUUCCCCCUGCCCCCUGCUUCAUAGCUGUGGAUCACAUAUAAGCUCUCAGACACUGCUCCAGCACCAGGCCUAGUUAAUUGCCUGUCUGUCUGCUGCCAUGCUCCCCACCAUGAUGGUCCUGGACUCAACCUCUGGAAGUGUGAGACCCCACAUUAAUCACUUUCUUUUUUACAUUGCCUUGGUCAUGAUGCUUUGUCAGGGCAAUAGAAAAGUAACUAAGACAGACAACAAUUGUCUUAAAGCAAGAAGAUUUAAAACCAGACAUUGGCAUUUGGAAUCCGUGAAUGGGUUGGCUUGACUGUAGAGAAAGGGUGCUCUGGUUUGAUCCUCAGAGUUUUAUAUACACUGGAGACUUACAUGGUUUUCAGUGUGGAGGUGGGACUUUUAAGAGAUGGGUCCUAGUGAGAAGUGUUCUUAGGUCAAGUGAAGACACAUCCUUGGGAAGUCUUGGCUUUCCUCUGACUUCCUUUCUAGUUAGGUUCUUAUUUCUAUACACCUUUGCCAUUUCUAUCCACUGUGAAGUGAUUCAACUGAGGGAGGUUCCUCGUUAUGCACAGGAUUAUGCUGUUAGACUUUCAACCUCCCAAAAUGUGAAUACACCUCUUAUAUUCAUAAAGUUAGCCUGCCUCUGAUAUUUCACUGUUGUUAUGCCAAAUCAACUAAUCCUAGGUCAUUGUCAGUAGCAGAAAAUUACCUACAUUACACACUCACUUCAUGAUUCUAAGCUACUAACCAUGUAUAAAGUCAGUCUGCUUUGGUCCUUAAUGGACAACUUAUGCAAAUGUUAGCCUCUGAGAGUCCACCCCUCUCCCCAGGGGAGGAGAGAGCCAUUGGUUCUGGUGCUCCAAUGGGAAUAUCCAGUCAGCUAGCUCACAGCCAUUCACACAGCUCAGGCGGAAAACAUUAGUUUCCGAGUUUUUCCCGUUUCCCCAUUCAUCUUUUACGGUGGAUGCUCUUCACGUUCCUAAGAUGCCCUGAUUGAUAUCGGCUUCCUAACCACAUCCCCGAAGUUUUAGUUCCCCUGAUUAUACUUCAUUUAUUAUACAUGCCUUCUUAUGAUUUGUAUGGUUUUAUGUAUCCUUUGAGAUACGUUGAGUUGGCAAUAACAUGACAUUGCAAUUCAUAUGAAUUGUUGAGCAUAAACUGGCAUUCUGAAGGAUGCCAUGCAGGCAGAGGAAAUGGAUGGAAUAGUGGUUGGUCCCUCUCCUCCUAGAAUCUCGUAUGACCUUAUUUGGUCAUUGCAGACAUAAUCAGGAUGAAGCUACACUGGAUUAAGACGGAUUAUUAGAUCUGAUGUCUGGUGACCUGAUAUGAAUAGAAAAAUAAAAAUACUUGAAGAAGGAAGAAGGGAUCGUGACUUUGAGACAAGCUAAAGGAUCAGAGCCACCCGCAGCUGGAAAACUCAGGGAGGAGUUUCCUCUAGACUUCUCAGAGACAGCAUGGUCCUAUCGGCAUUUUAACGUUAGACUUUAAGCCUGUAGGAUUAUGAGGAAAUGGGCUCUGAUCCUUUAAGCACUUAGUUUGUGGCAAAUUGUUGCUGCAAUCUUAGGAAAUGACAACCAGUAUUAGGGAGAAUGUUUCCCAUGAUUCAUCUGCUCACACAUUCACUUACCUGAUAUUUCUGUAUUCUGCGUGCAGGGGGACACUGACAUGCAUCUAGAGAACGCACGAUCACUGGGGCAACUUCUGUCCCCACUGGCCUUAGCUGAUAACAUUAGAGUGAGCACUGGCUUCAAGGUCUUGUGGCCUCUGCAGUUCCGAGUCCGGCCCAAGAUUCGUUGUGUUAAGCACUCUAUCAUACUUUCUGAACAAGCAACUCUCCAUUUUUAUUUUGUGCUGGACUCCACUAAUUGCUCUUCUGUGUCUUGUCUUACUGGGGUAGUUAUGUAAUUACACAUGUAUCAGGAGGACCCAAAUGAAGACCCACCAAGGUAGUGAGAGACCAAAAUUUGGGGAUUCCUAAUCCAUCUUAGAUAACCUGACUUAAGGUUAAACUCAAGUUAACUAAUAUCCGUUUCCAGGCUACCCCCCAAUAAGACCUACGUCUCCAGGUUACCCCCAGCUCCACCCCCUCAAACAAAUCCUGCGACUAGCACCAGUUUCCAGGUUAUUCCCCCAACCCCAACAACACCUGGGUCUAGCACCAAUCUCCAGGUUAUUCCUCAACAAAUCUGCACCUGCAGGUUACAAGCCCGCCCCUGGCACUUUCUAACAACCACCAAUCAGGAGGAAAGCUUAAGUUAAGUUCAUUGUUUGGCUCCCAGCACCAGCCAAUCACGUUAAAGAUCACAGUAGCUGUCCCCCGCCCCCAUUGGAUGCUUGUGGGGCUAGAAACACUCACCCCUCUCUUGCCAUUUUCUAUCAAACCUUGUCUAGAUGAGUGUUUGAGGCUUUUCUCCACCGGAACCGUCCUGUAAGGUUGAAGGCGACUUAAGCUGAAGCUCGAGCUUGUGAAUAAAGACCCUAGUGUGAUUACAUCGGAUCGGCUCCUGAUUGGUCUUUUGGGGUUCACGAAUGCCUCCUGGUAUACAGUAGGACUCCUUAAAGGAGUACAUUAGAAAAGCAGGCACUUACAAAGCUGUAUUGUGUGGCUUUGUAAGCAACUACGUAGAAACAGAUCUUUAACAAAUAUGUGAAGUCAUUAUAUUUGAAGUUCUCUUUUUAUGUGUAUAAUAUGCAAAAUAUGGUAGAAAAUAACCCAUGCACACAUGUUAAUAUAGUCAGUUAUUAUGUAUAUCGGAGUUCUCACAUAUACUAAUGGUACAGUGGAAGGGGUUUUCUUCAAUAACCCUUCCCGUUUCCCCUCCCGGACACUACCUCUCCUUUCCUAUAUCCCAAUAGUCUUUCUUUGACUUUUGUAUACUUCCAGGACUUGUCCUUCUGAAUCUGGCUUGGUCUGUGUAUGUGAAGGUUUGUGUGUAUCUCUCGUUUUAUGUAUCCAUUCAUUCAUUGAUGGACUUCCUUGCUGGUGACACCAUCUGGCCAUCGUGGCCAGUGUAGCAGUAAUGAUGGAUGCAUAGAUGUCUCUAUAGUAGACGGGCUUUGUUCCUCUUGAGGAAUUCCCAUAAGUGAGGUAACCAGAUUAUAUGGAAGUUCUUUUUUGUUAAUUUCUUUUUGAGGAAACUUCAUACUGAUUUCCACUGCAGCUGCUCCAAUUUACACCCCGGCACCAGGGCGUGGGUGGGUUUUCCCCAUCCUUGCCAACGUUUGAUGAUUUUUGUUUCUUUGUUUUUUCCUUGAUGACAGCCAUUCUGACUGCGGUGAGAAGGAUUGUCCAUUCCCCUGAUGGCUAAAACAUGUUGAUUAUUAAGGUCUUUUCUGUUUCUUGGAAUCAACAAGAAGCCUCCAAAAGCCAGAAUGGCUUAUGGGAAGGAGACUCAGAAAAACACAGGAACUACCUGGAAUGCCUUUGUCUUUUACAUGACUGCUCCAGAGAAAAAGGUGAAGACUUUAGAGAGAGACAGUGUAAGUGAAAUCCCCCUUCCAGCUCCUCCCUCUGACGGCUUCACAACGUGACCCUGCACGGCACACGUGCAGGGUAGGAUAACUCACACAAGUGUGCAACCAUUUCGUCUUCCUGCUUCUGCAGCCUUCAGUUGGGACGCCCCAUUAUGUGAGGAAACACUAAAAUUCUUGGCACUGUGUUAGAGGUUGGGUGGAUUAGUUAAAGUCUGGGUUUUAUCUUUCCCUCUUACCCAAAGUGCCCAUGGGCAGCAGUCUGUAUCCUGUCUCCAUAGUAUGCACCUGCUGCUGCUUCCGUCCAUGAAGCCUAGACAGCCAUAUUUCCCCCCUUUAAUCUGGCCCCCAUGACAGAAUCCUUUCUGUGUUAGUUUGAAUAAGGAAUGUUCCCCAUGGUCUUGGACAUCUAAUCUCCCUUCACUGCCCUGUUUGGGGACAUUCACGUGGUACAGUCUUCCUGGGACAGUGUGUCACUAGGGGCAGGCUUUGAGAUGGAAAGACUCAGCCGUACUUCAGUUCCUGCUUGCCCUUGGUGCCCUCACACCCCGUGCUUACCACUGUGCCUACUCUUUGAUGCCGUGCCUCCUACCACGAUGGACUCGUGCCUCUGGAACUGUAAGCAAAAUAAACUGCCAUCUGCAUGCUCCCCUGGUCAUGGUGGGUUUUUUUUCUUCAUAGCAACAGAAGUGUAACUAAUACAUUAUUUUGAAUGUUGCUGGCUGCUUCUUUUCCUUAUCUCAGCCUCAGUUCAAAUGGGAAUCAGACCUUUCCCAUUCAUGAAGCUCUGAUACAGCGGAUCUACAAUUCACAUGCAACUCUUUUUAUUUGGUUGUAGGUUUGUCCUCACCACCAGCUCGAAUUGCUGCAGACCUAUGACUUCAUGCUUUUGUUGUACCAAGGAACUGUUCGUGAACCCUGAAAGACCAGUCAGGAGCCAAGCCGAUGUAAUCACACCAGGUCUUUAUUCCACCUAACUCCAGGCUUACUUCACUGCUGUCCGCAGGAUGGUUCAGGUGGAGGAAAAACCCUGAACUUUCAUCAAGGCAAGGUUUACAGAAAGUAGCAAGUGAGGGGUUAAGAUCAUCAUGCUCAUGCUUGAAUUUGGCUUGGCCUUUCAGGGAAAAAUAUCCAAGCUCUGGCGCUGUGGAAAUGAGGUUUGAAUUCUCUCCAUCACUUAUUAGGGCAACAUUCAAGGGUCCCAUUAUGACAGUUCCCCAAGAUUACUCCUCUCCUUUGCCUUUCAAAUGAUGGUGUGUCCUAAAAAUCGGACGUCGAUUGACUACGUAGCUUAGAAAUUCAACGAGCAUAUUGAGGAUUCUGUGUCCAGGCACAAUGUUAUCUGCAAAGUUGGAGGCCGGUCCCAACAUGGAAUAGGUUUGGCUUCUCACCCCACAAAUCAUCGCCAUGGACUUCGUGUCUAGAAACAGCUUUUUGGUGUCUGAAAGUCCAAGAGUUAGAUCCAGACCCUGCCAUAUCUCCAUGUUACCGCAGUGGCAACUUGACUGUCUUCCUAACUCCAAUCGAUGCCGCAAUGCAAUGGUGACUUCAUUACUAGAUGACUCGGAUUCAGGGAUUUGGACCCCAGAGAGCUUGAAAGUCCUAUUUAUGAAUGUGUCUCUGAGGCUGUUUCUGGAGGAUGGCCUUUGAGUCAGCAGACUGAGCAAGGAGACACCCUUGCAAAUGCUGGUGGGCACAAUCCAAUUCACAAGAGCUAAGGGAGGAUCAAAGGCAGAGGAAGAGACUCGCACUGCUUAGGUUAGACAUCUCCCCCUCUUGUGCUGGACACCGGCACUCUUGGUUCUUGGGUCUUUGAACGCACACUGGAGUUUUGUAUCCAUGUGCCCCUCAGUUCUUAUAAACUUUUGGCUGGAGCUGCAACUGUGCCUUUUGAGGACUGAGACAAGUCAGUCCCUCAUAAUCUCUCUCUAUAUGUCUGUGUACCUUACUGCUUCUGUUUCUCUGAAGAACCCCGAUUGAAAAUUUGGGAAGGAAUACUGCACUACUACUUUCCAGACUCUUUCUCUCCAUUUCUUUUAGUUUCUUAAGUAUAUCUAGUAUUUUGUGGUUGUUAUUUUUUCAAGACAUGGCAAAUUGUUCAUCACAGUUCUAAAGGGGCGUGGUCCUAGAUCAGAAUACUAGGGUGAGAACUCAGUGAAUGACAGAUGCAUUAACGAAGUUACCAACCACGGGCAGAAGUAACAAAGGCUCUAACCUAAGUUAAGGAACAGAAUUUCAAAGUGGAUAGAAAUAGUCGGAUGAGUAACUUCACACACAAGGAACAGUGAGUGGCCUGUGCCCUGCUACCACUGAGGAUGGUAGUAACCCUGGAGAGUAUUUUUAUAAUGCUGCCUUCUGUAGACUCAUGACUCAGAAGGAAAUUCACACGAGGAGGUGUCUUAGUGUUCUACUGCUGCAAGGAGACAGCAGACGAAGGCACCUCUUAGACAAGAAAGCACUUACUUGGAGGCUUGCUUACAGUCAGAGGGUUCAUCCAUGAUCAUCAUGACAGAAAGUAAACAUGCAUGGGGCCAAGAGCUUACACCUUGAUCCAAAGGCAGUAGGCAAAGUGAGAGAGACUAGGCUGGGUGUGGACUUUUGAAACCUCGAAGCCCACUUCCAGUGAUGCACGUUCUCCAACAGGACCACACUUCCUUAUCCUUCCCAACAGUUCCCCAGCUGGGAAAGAAGCAUGUGACAAUACAGGAGACUAUGGGGCCAUUCUCACUCCACCCUCCACAGGAGGAGAACGGGAUUAUAACAGAGAUGUGAUGUUUGUUAUCCUGAGAAGUGAAAAGCGGGCUGAGCUGAGGCCAGGCUAGACUUCGCCUCUGGAGCUCCUCUUCUCCUCUUUAGCAUCUUCUCUUUUGCCCUUCAUGUUUGCUCAGUGCCUUUUCUUGCCACCCACAUGAAGACCUGCUUUACUGUGCACUUCUGCACAGAAUAUGCACAUGCAAUCACAUAAAGUCUCCUUCUUUCCCUCCUCUCCAUUUGCUCAUCUCCAGCUCAUUCAGGUUUUCAGAGAAAGGACGUGGUCAGAAGAUCUAUCUCACCUCUAUCAGCUGUUGGGUCUGAAAUUAGGAUCCGGUCACGUGGGGUGGGGGUUGGGUGGCCUAUGGGAACUGGGAGCCUGCUAAGCAUUUAGCAUGAGUCAGAUGCCAUUUCAAAUACUUCGUGUGCAUUAACUCAUUGGUUUCAUCGCAGCCCUGUGGAACAGAUUCCUGUAUCUCCAUUUAACAGAUUAGCAAGUGAACAUUACAUCCUCAGGUCCAGACAGAGAGAUGAGCAAUGGAAAAGCUGACUUAUCAUCGUGGGGUAGUGCAGAUAAUACGUAGUGAAGAGUCAACCUGAGCACCUGUGGCUCUAGCAUAACUCCUUCAACUGUUGUCAUCUAAAGCUUGAGUGGGUCGGGAUUGUCCAAGAGGACCUCAUGCAUAUGCUGGACAACUAUCUGAGGCUGUAGGCUCAGGCCCCCUCCUCCAAGUGAUCUUUUCAAAGGGUACUUCGGGUUCUUUGCUUAGUAGCUAGAUAUGAAGAAUUCCAAAUGUCAUCCAGAGAAUUACAUUGAUGCAGCAGCAGCCUCCAAAUAUGUCACCACACUGAGUUGUCACACAGAACACACAGUCAGGCAGACCAAAUCAAGAUCCUUGAGUGACACACACACACACACACACA
This 8840-nucleotide small RNA is filed under the name Rattus norvegicus (Norway rat). RNAcentral's name for it is "uncharacterized LOC103690428". The record is from RNAcentral. Lineage: Eukaryota; Metazoa; Chordata; Mammalia; Rodentia; Muridae.